ACUUUGCUUCUCAUCGCUGCUUGGGAACUACGAGCAUGUGCUUAAAACUCAAAGAACUUGGCGGCUUGUUAACUACCUAGGGGAAUAUGUGCCUUAAUCCGAUAGUCCUCGACAUAUUUUACUGGGCCUUGAAAAAUCAGUUGGUGUAUUGCCGUUGUCAGCCUGUUGUUGAGCAAAGAGAAACAGGCUUAAAGGAUUCUUUUAAAAAGUAGAAGAGUUCCUUGAAUUCAGGUCGUAAUACUGCCUAUGGCUCUAGGGAGUGGGUGUUACAAUUUUAAGUUGAAAUACGGACCUUUUUAUGAAAAAGAAGCGAAGGUGAACUUAGGAGUAAGGGAAGAUUAGUAUGCUCCCCUGAACGUGAAUCUAGCUUGUGUACAAACUGCCCGUC
Molecule: ribosomal RNA, 388 nt
Filed under: Argopecten irradians (bay scallop)
Lineage: Eukaryota; Metazoa; Mollusca; Bivalvia; Pectinida; Pectinidae
Description: partial 12S ribosomal RNA
Rfam family: Bacterial small subunit ribosomal RNA
Source: RNAcentral